This is a long non-coding RNA of Musa acuminata AAA Group (dessert banana), 2059 nucleotides long. RefSeq lists it as uncharacterized. The transcript has 2 exons. The record is from RefSeq and is a predicted model, not a curated record. NCBI's taxonomy places the organism in Eukaryota, Viridiplantae, Streptophyta, Magnoliopsida, Zingiberales, Musaceae.
AGCGAGUUCCAACGAGCUUCUUCGGCAAGCUCCGAUCUUUCUCGGCGAGCUCCGCGAACUCCCAACGAAUCUUCGAACUUCCGUCGAACUCUCGAACUCGCAACAAAUCCUUCGCGCUUGACUCCGACACUUUGUUUCGCUUUAUGUCUUCAUCGUUAUCAUAGUUAAUCCUGCACAAUUAAAACAAAACUUCGAUCGAGACAAUUAAUCCUUAGCAAUUAACCAAGUUGUCCGGCAUGUCAUUGGUCCCUCGACGCUUCGUCUGAUUCUUCGGCGCAUCGUCCUCUCCUGCGGCCUAUUGCCCAAUCGGCCAGUUGACUCCGCAACUCCGAUAUCCUUGGCACAAUACCCGCUCUUCUUGGCCCGAUGCCCGAGUCCACGGCCCGAAGCCUUCUGUCGAUACGUCGACCGAUCCACCGGCCCGACGUCCAAUCUCUUGACAUGUUCCUCCGGCACAACAUGAUUUUCCUGCUUUAAUUGUCUCAUCCUGAUCAAAGCAUCCUGCGUCACUCAAAACGCAGAUUAAAUCAUAAACAUAUAUCAAGUAGUUUCAUCAUCAAAAUACGAGAUUCAACAAAUUCAGCCAUUGACAACUAUUAGUAAAGAAGUUAAGAUUAGUCAAACCUGAUAAUAGAUUUUGAUUUAUUAUGUUGCAGAUCAUGCAAGUGUAAUAAUGUCUGGUAAUCUGAAGUAUUUCAUAGAAAGUAGGGAUACUUGGCAUAAUUAAGGUCAAGUAAUAUUUCUUUUUGAAGCAUGUCGAUGGUCAGUGGCAUUUUUGUACAAUUAUUUGGCUUGAUGUGGAUUUAGUGAAUUUGUCUUGCGGACUGAGGGGAAUCAUGUUGCUCUUUCUUGAUUUUGAGAAACAAUGAAGUGGGCAAUGAAUAGAAAUUUUUAUGCCUCAUGCUGUGCAAUCUCUUGCUUGUCUUGAUCUUUCGGACUGCAUUACUACUUCACCAUCGACAUCAUGGACUCCCUCACACACUUCAUGGAGUUAUGUGUGUUGGUUGCAUGGUCUAUGCAGACCAUUAUGAGGCUCUUGAUUGGUAAAUGCCCAUUUAAUUUCUUUUGUGGUUUUCUUCCUUACUUUGUGAGCAUUAGAGGUUAGCUAUUUACCAAUCUCUUGCUUGAUCUUUCGGACUGCAUUACUACUUCACCAUCGACAUCAUGGACUCCCUCACACACUUCAUGGAGUUAUGUGUGUUGGUUACAUGGUCUAUGCAGACCAUUAUGAGGCUCUUGAUUGGUAAGUGCCCAUUUAAUUUCUUUUGUGGUUUUCUUCCUUACUUUGUGAGCCUUAGAGGUUAGCUAUUUGCAUCAUACCAACUUGACUACUGUAGAUGUUGCUCUUUCUGACUUGAUGUGAGAUGAGACUCAACUUUAUAUGCCUAGAUUAGUGAGGGUUUUUUUUCUAUAAAUUAUUUUUUUCAUUAUUUUAAAUUGCAUAUAUAUAAUAUGCUCCAACAUGAAUCUGAAGUUGAGACUUAUCAUCUGUAUAAUAAUGUGCUAAUCAUCUGGAUGUCCCAACAGAGACCUUUUAUGGUAAGCUGCUUAUAGUGCCUGACCACUGAACACAACAUAUCAACCUACUUGUGCUUUCAUUUCUGUUGUUCCCAAAAAAUAGAACAAACACAGCACUUAUGCAUCAUUUAGGGCUAUAACUGCCCACUAAGAUUAGUCUUUUGUCUCACUGUAAUUCCGUAUUUCUUGAAGUUCAUUACACAGAUCACCAAGCAGCACAGUCGGCAGUUUUAGCUGCAUAUUGACCUCAUCCAGAUUGCAUGUUGCUGCUUGAGUCAUGGAUGCCCUCACCAUUUUGGGCCACUUUUGUAGCUGGUUCAUAGGUGUUGUCUCUAAUGUUAGUUUAUCUCACUACCAAGGCAUUUGUUUUAGGCAAAGAUGUCAAACCUUUUCUUCUUUCUGGUGUACUAACUGUUGUCCUUUGCCUUUCUCUGUUAAAGCACACUAUCAAUCAUACCUGUGUGUUUUUUUACUCGGGUAUGUUCAUGUACGUUACACCACAAUCGUGGACAAUAUAUAUGUAUAUGUUCUUGUUUGCUAU